UAUGUGGAGGGGUGCCGUCCC
Molecule: unclassified non-coding RNA, 21 nt
Filed under: Chlamydomonas reinhardtii
Lineage: Eukaryota; Viridiplantae; Chlorophyta; Chlorophyceae; Chlamydomonadales; Chlamydomonadaceae
Description: small RNA Cre_2406
Source: RNAcentral